UACUUUGGUGGCGACCGGCGCACGGGUGCGUAACGCGUAUGCAACCUACCUUUAACAGGGGCAUAACACUGAGAAAUUGUACUAAUUCCCCAUAACAUUCGAGAAGGCAUCUUCUUGGGUUAAAAACUCCGGUGGUUAAAGAUGGGCAUGCGUUGUAUUAGCUAGUUGGUGAGGUAACGGCUCACCAAGGCAACGAUACAUAGGGGGACUGAGAGGUUAACCCCCCACAUUGGUACUGAGACACGGACCAA
This 251-nucleotide ribosomal RNA is filed under the name uncultured bacterium. Its description in RNAcentral is "partial 16S ribosomal RNA". It matches the Rfam family "Bacterial small subunit ribosomal RNA", at positions 81 to 334 of the family's 1533-position model. The record is from RNAcentral.